Molecule: non-coding RNA, 25 nt
Filed under: Cricetulus griseus (Chinese hamster)
Lineage: Eukaryota; Metazoa; Chordata; Mammalia; Rodentia; Cricetidae
Source: RNAcentral
UGGCUUCUAGGACUUUCGGCAUUAC